GGCCCCGUAGCACAGUCGGUAGUGCAUCGUACUUAUAGAAUAGAGUUAUGCGAGGGUCGCGGGUUCGAUCCCCGCCGGGACCA
Molecule: transfer RNA, 83 nt
Organism: Entamoeba invadens IP1
Lineage: Eukaryota; Evosea; Mastigamoebida; Endamoebidae
Rfam family: tRNA
About the family: Transfer RNA (tRNA) molecules are approximately 80 nucleotides in length. Their secondary structure includes four short double-helical elements and three loops (D, anti-codon, and T loops).
Source: Rfam